UACGGGGGGGGCAAGCGUUGUUCGGAAUUACUGGGCGUAAAGGGCGCGUAGGCGGUUGGUUAAGUCAGCUGUGAAAACCACGGGCUUAACUCGUGGCCUGCAGUUGAGACUGUCUGGCUUGAGUGUGGGAGAGGAGAGUGGAAUUCCUGGUGUAGCGGUGAAAUGCGUAGAUAUCGGGAGGAACACCAAUGGCGAAGGCAGCUCGCUGGGACGGUACUGACGCUGAGACGCGAAAGCGUGGGGAGCAAACAGG
Molecule: ribosomal RNA, 253 nt
Filed under: uncultured bacterium
Lineage: Bacteria
Description: partial 16S ribosomal RNA
Rfam family: Bacterial small subunit ribosomal RNA
Source: RNAcentral